GUGCCAGCAGCCGCGGUAAUACGGAGGGUGCAAGCGUUAUCCGGAUUCACUGGGUUUAAAGGGUGCGUAGGUGGGUUGGUAAGUCAGUGGUGAAAUCCCCGAGCUUAACUUGGGAACUGCCAUUGAUACUAUCAGUCUUGAAUAUUGUGGAGGUUAGCGGAAUAUGUCAUGUAGCGGUGAAAUGCUUAGAUAUGACAUAGAACACCAAUUGCGAAGGCAGCUGGCUACGCAUAUAUUGACACUGAGGCACGAAAGCGUGGGGAUCAAACAGGAUUAGAAACCCUCGUAGUCC
This 292-nucleotide ribosomal RNA is filed under the name uncultured bacterium. RNAcentral describes it as "partial 16S ribosomal RNA". It matches the Rfam family "Bacterial small subunit ribosomal RNA", at positions 505 to 796 of the family's 1533-position model. The record is from RNAcentral.